Molecule: ribosomal RNA, 459 nt
Filed under: uncultured bacterium
Lineage: Bacteria
Description: partial 16S ribosomal RNA
Rfam family: Bacterial small subunit ribosomal RNA
Source: RNAcentral
CCUACGGGGUGCAGCAGUGAGGAAUAUUGGUCAAUGGACGAGAGUCUGAACCAGCCAAGUAGCGUGAAGGAUGACUGCCCUAUGGGUUGUAAACUUCUUUUAUAAAGGAAUAAAACGAGGCACGUGUGCCUUUUUGCAUGUACUUUAUGAAUAAGGAUCGGCUAACUCCGUGCCAGCAGCCGCGGUAAUACGGAGGAUCCGAGCGUUAUCCGGAUUUAUUGGGUUUAAAGGGAGCGUAGAUGGGUUGUUAAGUCAGUUGUGAAAGUUUGCGGCUCAACCGUAAAAUUGCAAUUGAUACUGGCAGUCGUGAGUACAGUUGAGGUAGGCGGAAUUCGUGGUGUAGCGGUGAAAUGCUUAGAUAUCACGAAGAACCCCGAUUGCGAAGGCAGCUUACUAAACUGUGACUGACAUUGAUGCUCGAAAGUGUGGGUAUCAAACAGGAUUAGAUACCCUGGUAGU